GUACUGGGAGCACUGGUGUGGACUGCGUGCUGAGGCUCCAGACUGGGACUGAGUCAUCCGUACUGGGAGCGCACUGGUCCAUACUGGUUCCCCACCAUGGCUCUGCCGCCCGCCCUGGCCACAGCCUGGUCGCUGCUGCUGCUGCUGCUCCUGGAUGCGGUGCUGGUGACCGGGUGGCUGUGCCACAGCUCUUGGCCUUGGUGUGGGUCCAGUGGUGCCUGUUGGGUGCUGCCUGCGUGGCCCUGGCGUUGGCCGUGUUGGCAGCACUCGGUGAAGCAGCAGCACAAAGAAGAGGGGCAGCAGCAAGAAGAAGCCUCCGGUUGCAGCUCAUCCAGCCCAUGCAGGAGUUAAGUAGGAAGCUCUGCAGGGAGGAGAGGAAGAGACACCCAGGGCUACCUCCCUGUGCCCACAGAGCUCUGGGGGGGGGCUCGGUAUCCCCCUGCAUCCCAUGGAGGCUCCAUGCAGGAGCUGGGGCCACCCCAUCCGUACCCCCUGGUGCCAGCUCGUACCUGGUGCUGAGCUGGCAGAGCCCAUGGCCAUGCCUGCAAGAGAAAGAGCCGUGAGCAGCCAAGACCCCUCCUUUUCCAUCUGUUCCUCCUAUGGGGGCUGAGGAUUGGGAAGCCGGAGGCACGGGACCAGCACGGUGCUGGAUGUGCCCCCGGUGCUCACCUGGGGUCGCGCUGUUGCCAUCCCUGUUCUUCCCUGCAGAGAGGCAGAGCCAUCAGCAGCCCUAUGGGGCUGGUCAGGGCUCCCAUUCAGCAGCUCCUGCCCUGCCUCCCUCCCUGCAUGCGGGGCCUUACCCGCUCUGAGCUUCCAGAGGAGCACCCCGAUGAUGGUGAUGGCCACGAGCACCACGGCAGCCACCGGCAGCAGGAUGCUGAGCAGGUCAGAGUGCGGCUCUGCAGGAAGAGCAGGAGGAUGAGGAGCUGGCAAGGGGGAACCCCCCCCACCGUGCGCGGCCCCCCCAGGGCUCACCCAGAGCAUAGAGGCCGGGUUGGAGGAGGCUGGCGUGUUCCACCCGGCACCGGAACCUGUCCUUGUCGCCGGGGUGGGCCUCGAUGGAGGCCCACGUGUAGUAGGUGCCGUCGCUGUUGGGGGCGAGGCCGCCCCAUUGGGUGUCCUGGUCCCGCACCUCGCCGUCCUUGAGCCAGCUGAGCACGAUGGGCCGCGGGUAGAAGCCGUGAGCGCGGCAGGUCAAGGUCAGGAUCCCGUCCUCCUGCUCCUUCCCUGACACUCGCACCGUGGGGGACACUGGGAAUGGGAUGGAUGGGGAGGGAUCAGAGCAGGCGCCCACAGCCCCCAAAGGGAGCGUGUCCUGGGCUGCAUCCAAAGGAGCGUGAGCAGCAGGGUGAGGGCUGAUCCUGCCCCUCUGCUCUGGGCAGAGCUCACUGGGAGCUGUGCGUGCGGUGCUGGGUCCUCAGCAUGAACAGGGCAUGGGAUGGUUGGGACAAGCCCAGAGGAGACAAGAGGAUGAGCAGGGACUGGAGCAGCUCCUGUAUGGAGAUAGGCUGGGAACGUUGGGGCUGUUCAGCCUGGAGAAGAGAAGCUGCGUGGAGACCUCAUAGUGUGUGAAGGGGGUUUGGGAUGGUGGGGAUGGACUCUUCAUUAGGGCCUGCAGUGAUGGGACAAGGGGUAACGGGUGCAAACUGAAGCAUUGGAAGGUUAGGUUGGGUCUGAGGAGGAAGUUCUUGACUGAGGCACUGGAAUGGGUUGCCCAGGGAGGUGUUCGAGGCCAGGUUGGACGAUGCCUUUGGUGCCUUGGUUUAAUGUGAGGGGUUGGAACUGGAGGCUCUCAAGGUCCUUUCCAACCCAACCCAUUCUGUGGCCCCCAUGUCCCCAUCUCACCCUCACCUCUCCUCUCCAGCUCCAGCUGCCCAUAGCUCACGUAUUCCUUCAGCUCCUCCCCACAGCUGUUCUCCAGAUAGUUCUUUAAGUGCUCAGCUACACUCCCAUCCUGUUCCCACUCCCUCUUGGUGGCCUCUGCCUCUGGAACCGCCGGGAUGAACGUCAUGGUGUCCAUGUUGAAGGCAAUGAUGUCCUUCCCAUCAUAGGCAAUCUGAGUGUACCCCUUGGUGCUCCCAUCGUCCAGGAGGUCACAGCCAGACAUGGUCUGCAGUGUGUGAGCCCCUGCACCAACACCGGUGAGAUGGGACUGCCCCACACAGCCCAUCCCAGCCCCACAGAGCCCCUCCAGCCCCAUGAAGCAACAUCCCUGCCCCACACUCACCCCCGCUCUGGUUGUACCGAUCCCGCAGAGUGUUGAGGCCAUCGUAGGACAUCUGCUGGAUUGUCUGUGCAACCUCAGUCACUCUAUCCCAGUAUUUUUGACCCACAUUGGCCUCAAUCCAGUGUGUCCGGGGCUGACAUCGCUUGCUGUCACUGUUGUAGCUCAUAAACAGGUUCCCAUCCACAUAUCCCAUCUCCUGGAACCGGGGAACCCCUGGGCUGGGGUCUGACACGGCGACAAACAAGAACCGCAGGGAAUGGAGCACUGCAGGGACACAGGGGUGAGGGCCGCAGAGCAGCAGGAGCCCCACGGCAGAGCCUGGCCCCAUCGCGCUCCUCCGCUGAGCACUGAGCCCAGAGCCCAGAGCUUGGGCACCAGCAGCACCCUCCUGCUCCGCUAUUGGCUCUGCCCCGAGCCACCCACCAAUGAGAAACCAGGACUGCUCGUGACGUCACCGGUUGCUGGCAGAUCCCACUUGUCGAGGUUGCGAAACGGAAACGAACUUUGCUGGGAAACCCCAAUUCUGGGUGUGAUAACUGGAGUUAAGAUCCCUGGUAAGGAAAAGGCAUCGUGGGGACAUGGGGAUGUGCGGAUAUAGGGACAUGGGGAGAUAAGGAUAUGGGACAUGAGGGUCAUGGGGAUAUAGGGACAUAAGACAUGGGGAGAUAGGGAUAUGGAACAUGAGGGUCAUGGGGAUAUAGGGACUUAGGACAUG
This is a long non-coding RNA of Melopsittacus undulatus (budgerigar), 2942 nucleotides long. RefSeq lists it as uncharacterized. The transcript is spliced from 4 exons. The record is from RefSeq and is a predicted model, not a curated record. Lineage: Eukaryota; Metazoa; Chordata; Aves; Psittaciformes; Psittaculidae.